ACUAAAAAUAAUGGACAAACCUUCCGGGUCUGAAAAGUAAAAGCAUUACGGAAGUGCAUUAAACCUGCAUUCUAUCUAAUUUCCAGCAGGGGCCAACUCCACUGGUUGCCAAAAGAAUCUAUGAGAAAAUGA
This is a long non-coding RNA of Etheostoma spectabile (orangethroat darter), 132 nucleotides long. RefSeq lists it as uncharacterized. The transcript has 3 exons. NCBI's taxonomy places the organism in Eukaryota, Metazoa, Chordata, Actinopteri, Perciformes, Percidae. The record is from RefSeq and is a predicted model, not a curated record.